Non-coding RNA from Bombyx mori (domestic silkworm), 70 nucleotides. Lineage: Eukaryota; Metazoa; Arthropoda; Insecta; Lepidoptera; Bombycidae. The record is from Rfam.
GGAUGUUAAAUUGACUCUAGUAGGGAGUCCGUUCCGCGCGACUCCCUAAUCGAGUCAGGUUGACUUCUUU